This is a small nucleolar RNA of Capsella rubella, 90 nucleotides long. It matches the Rfam family "Small nucleolar RNA R20". From Rfam's summary of the family: snoR20 is a member of the C/D class of snoRNA which contain the C (UGAUGA) and D (CUGA) box motifs. Most of the members of the box C/D family function in directing site-specific 2'-O-methylation of substrate RNAs. The record is from Rfam. NCBI's taxonomy places the organism in Eukaryota, Viridiplantae, Streptophyta, Magnoliopsida, Brassicales, Brassicaceae.
GAUGAGGAUUAACUAUAAUUGAAAAUCAAAACUUGUUGUGAGCUUACAUGUUGAGAAAAGUACAAUCCCAAUGAAUAUCAAAGCUGUUUU